Long non-coding RNA from Passer domesticus (house sparrow), 2178 nucleotides. RefSeq lists it as uncharacterized. NCBI's taxonomy places the organism in Eukaryota, Metazoa, Chordata, Aves, Passeriformes, Passeridae. The record is from RefSeq and is a predicted model, not a curated record. The transcript is spliced from 3 exons.
AUGGAGAGAGCUUCCUAAGGAGCAAGGAUGUGGGGAGGGUCGGGUCAGGCCCGGAAGCUCAGCAGCAGUUCUCCAUCACUCAGCAGUGGCUGUCCGUCCCUCCGCUCUGGUUGUCCAGCCUUGUGGCCCGGCUCCAGGGCUGACCCGCACACAGAUCAUGUGGGCACGCCACGGCUUUUCCCUUCAUGUGGGAGCUGCCAGCUCAGUGUCCCAAGGGCAGCCAGACCCCCCUGCAGCUGUGAGGAUGCAGAGCUGCCUGAGCGUGCCCUGUUCAGUGCCUUCCACAUCCAGGCCUUGAGGUGUGCCCAUCAGGGCAGUGCACGUGAUGGUAACUUCUUGUGGGUGUUUGGUUGUAGUUGUGGAGACAGAGAGUGCUCUUUCAGGCCCUGAGCGAGGGGCAGAUACCGUGCUGACUCCGAGCUGGUACCUCAAGCGUGAGUAGUCAGUCUGUCCUGCCUUCACAAAAAGGAGCGCCCCUUUUCCCUAUUUUAUUCACGAGAAAAAUACCGUCAUAGGUUAACGUGCUUUUGUAAAUCUAACAAUAGGGAUGAACGAUGACAAAGUUCCUGAAGAGUUCCCUGAAGAAUUGCCGGAUGUUCCAGAGGAGCUCCUGGCAGCCUUGCAUGAAGCCCCAUCUGAGACAGAUUCUGAGACUGUGCCGGAGACCUUAGCCGUGGAAGAAAGUGACAGUGUGCCAGGCUCACAUGAAAAAAGAGAAGCAAUAGAGGACACCAGCACACUUGCUGAGCCUGAGCAAUAUUCAGGUGAGUGCUUGCUAGAUGCUGUCUUGGGCAAAGAGCAGCAUUUCUGCUGUAUCCCUGCAGUGCUCUCCAUGGGUGAAUUGCAGGUGCCCAGCACGCAGCCCGGGCCUGCAGCCCGGAGGAGUAGAUGGGGCAGUGCUGCUCCCUGGCACACACUGGGCUCUUGUGCAUGAGAACUUGAUGGGAUCCCUCUUGGUCCCUGAUGCUAAGACACCAGAGGCAGAGGAACCCAUCUCUGAAGACAACAUCAGAUGUCAGUUCUGAUUCACUAGCAGUGCCAGUCCUUGGGCAUCUGAAGCACGCUGUGGGGUUAUGCCUAGUGCAGAGCACAAACGCUGACUCUUGCAUUGUCUCUUCUCCUGCCAGGGUCAUCCGGUGGGCAAAAAGCCGAGACUGCUGCACACCGUGACCCCGGCAAGUACUACAUCCUAGUAGGGACAGUAGCAGCCUCAGCUUUGCUUCUGCUUGGGGCAGUGUCUGUGUAUCUAGUCAUGCAUCAGCUGCUGAAGAGAGAGAGGAGGAGCCAGGAGGACAAAGAGGCAAGAGGACAGGACUGGCACUCUUCCUGGGAAAGCUGUGGUCAGCCUAGAGGUGAAGCAGAGUCAGGAGAAGGAGCGGCAAGCGGCGAGAGAGCCCAAGGCAAGGGCUUCAGGGACAGCUGCCGCCUGUUUCCUGAGCUCUUUGCAGCAGAGCUCGCCCAGCGCUACAAGAACAUGGGCGCAGACCCGUCACCUCUGCCCACCUGCUCCUUCUGUGCUCUGGCUGACAACGCCUCUUCACGGGACCACUGGAUUUCCCUGGAGUCACCUCAGCCCACAGCAUCCUCUUGCCCCUCCUACCAAUACCAGCAGGACUAUUAUCUGUUAGAGGAGGAUGAUUAGUGAUAGUGAGAGAUGAUUAGUGAUAGUGAUAGUGAUAGUGAUAAGUAGUGAUAGUGCUAGUGAUUCUUUUAGGGAUAGUGGUAGGGAUACCUGAUAUUAGAGGGUGGUGGUUGUUUUAAUGAUAGCGUUAGUUAAUAUUAGAGGAUAGUGAUAGUUUUAAGGAUAGCGUUACUUGAUAUUAGAGGAGGGUAAUUGUAUUAGUGAUAGUGAUAGUGAUACAUAGUGAUAGUGGUAGUGAUAAAUAGUGAUAGUGGUAGUGAUUCUUUUAGGGAUAGUGGUAGGGAUACUUGAUAUUAGAGGGUGGUGGUUGUUUUAAUGAUAGUGAUAGUUAAUAGUAGAGGAUAGUGAUUGUUUUAAUGAUAGCGUUAUUUGAUAUUAGAGGACAGCGAUUGUAUUAGCGAUAGUGAUAGUUAAUAUUACAGGAUGGUGAUUGUUUUAGUGAUAGUGGUACAUUUAGUGAUCGUGAUACUUGGUAUUAGCAGAUAAUGAUUGUUUUCUUGAUAUUGAUAAAUAAAAAUGUUUCCAAAAGCAGUAAA